CCACUUUCUUGUUGCUGAACUUCAGUUUGCUGGCUGCUAGUGUUAUCACCUCCCAAUACUACUUGGCCAUCAUUAGAUGGAGGGCCAUUAGAUGGUUGACUCUCUAGUGCUCCUGAAUGAUGGGACUGCCUUUCAGCAUGACCACUGACUGGAGUGAGACUGCGCAAGUGAGACAGGAAGGUUUCCUCUAUUGCUUGUGCAAUUACAGCACCCUGGGUACUUGCCUGUGGCUGACCAUCAUCAGUCCACCGACCAUCCCCUG
This 262-nucleotide unclassified non-coding RNA is filed under the name Hevea brasiliensis (rubber tree). Lineage: Eukaryota; Viridiplantae; Streptophyta; Magnoliopsida; Malpighiales; Euphorbiaceae. The record is from RNAcentral.